GCAAACUUGGUCAUUUAGAGGAAGUAAAAGUCGUAACAAGGUCUCCGUUGGUGAACCAGCGGAGGGAUCAUUACUGAGUUCUACAAAACUCCCAACCCUUUGUGAAUUUUACUCUUGUUGCCUCGGCGCUGAGCGGCAGCUACCCGGGAGCUACCCUAGAGACACCUACCCUGUAGUUACCCUGUAGCUACCCGGGAGGUGGCUACCCUGGAGAGCUACCCUGGAGUUGCGUCUCACGCUCCGCCGGAGGACCCCCAAACUCUGUUUAGUAUAGUGUAUCUCUGAACUCUUUAACUAAAUACGUUAAAACUUUCAACAACGGAUCUCUUGGUUCUGGCAUCGAUGAAGAACGCAGC
Molecule: unclassified non-coding RNA, 356 nt
Filed under: uncultured fungus
Lineage: Eukaryota; Fungi
Description: partial contains small subunit ribosomal RNA, internal transcribed spacer 1, and 5.8S ribosomal RNA
Rfam family: Eukaryotic small subunit ribosomal RNA (bases 1-73)
Source: RNAcentral